This is a long non-coding RNA of Ictalurus punctatus (channel catfish), 1752 nucleotides long. The record is from Ensembl. Lineage: Eukaryota; Metazoa; Chordata; Actinopteri; Siluriformes; Ictaluridae.
GUUCUUGGUGUUGGGAGUACUUUAUUUGUGUUAAAGCGCUGUUUGUUAAUUGGUAGCGGAUGUACCGCGUCAUUUCCGGUUUUAUCGUCAGUCGGCGCUGAGUUUGACUGAGAGAGCUGUGUAGUUAAUCCAGCGCGAUUAUAAAGUUUGAAUUUUAAGCUUUAAAAGUCGUUUCAAGUGCACAACCCUGUUUAAUCAUGUAUAGUAUUGUUAGGAUAGACGGACUGUGUCGUUUCUGCUGUGUAUUUUACUUGUACAAUGAGUUUGUGAAAAUUUUCCUCGUGUGUGCGCGCGCUAGCGUCGCCAUUUUAUCUUCUUAUCGAGGUACACGCUGACGUUAUUUUCUCAUGUUAGGUUUACUGUGAAGAUAAAUCCUGUAUGACGACGUUUUGCUCUCUCUGAACUCUAAAUAGGGGUGUGUUUUGUACUCCCCUUACCAUGUUCAAAACUUUUAUUAUUUAACAAACAACACAAAAAUCAGCUCAUCACAGGUUGGUCUUCCACCUCCGUCUUCUGCUCAAGGGUCUUCUCCACCUUCACUCUCUCCGCUCCCAUCUUGGCCAGCGGCUGUUUCUCCUGAAGCAUUCGGCUCAGUUUGGCCUGCGGCAGGUUAGUCUUACUGCUUGUGCUGUGUUUAACACAACUGUGGCCCGAGUGAAGACUUCAUCAGACUUGUCCAGGAGUUCACCUGCUGAUUGUCCAGCGUAAGCUUCUCGAUCUGAGCCUCCAGAUCCGCCUCUCUGUCCUCCGCCUUCCGCUGCCCGAGCCCCUGAUGCUGAUUACUGUCUGACCGCUUCCUCAGAGUGCAGCUGCCGAGGUCGAGCUGCCGGCGGAGUCGAAUGUGCGUCUGGAGCUCCAGCGUCUUGAUCACAGGAUCUGGAUCGAGCACAUCUGGACAUGUCUACUUAACUUUUUUCCCCCCCCACCAAAAUGUGACUGAACAUUCCUGAGGAAAGGCUCGAUUGUUAAUAAUAUAGUUAGUUGUAUGUCAUAGAACACAAUGUAAUUACAUUUAUUUGUAUCUUUUUGUAUUUUAUUAACAUGUUUUGAGUUAGUCUCCUAUAGGAGUCGUUGAGUUUGACUGAGAGGUGUGUUGUGAAGAUAAAUCCUGUAUGACGACGUUUUGCUCUCUUUGAUCUCUAAAUAGAUGUUGAGCUUGUCUGCGGGAUGAAUAAACCUGAGUUUAACAAGAUACGCCAGUGUCUAUUGUGCACCAGAACACCACGCAGUGUAGCCGGGCUAGGCGGGGCGGACCGGUCACACUAGUACUGCUAGUAAAGGCAGUGAAGUAUUGGCCAGCUAGCUAGCUUAAAGAAGGGGGGGGGGGCGUGUGCAAGAUACUCAUAAUCUUGAAAAUUUCAGUUACUUAUUUAUCUACUUUAUCUUUAAGUACUGACAUAUCACUAGCCAGAAGUCGUUGUUUGGUGUCAGACACUAAUUAGCAAACAGAAGCUGAAGAUCAUUAGCUAGCUUGUUAGCUGAUUAGCUAAUUAACCCAGCGCUGGUCUGGGCACGCGCAGGUCGCCAUAUACUUUGAGUGCGUUAAUAAGCACCCGAUAUCUCUCAGUACUACUUUAUUCUUGUUUUUAAAGGAGACUGUUCAGGAAAAGAAAUAAUUAGCUGGAUAAGUGAGUAAACUGAGACUGUGGACCUUUUUGUAGGAAUUUGUGUGCAAUGUUUCAUUUAAUAAAACGUUUAUGCAGCACUUCUGAUGCAUUUAGUCUAAAAGUCUUGCAAAUGCAUGUACAUAGG